AUGCCCCACAAUACCCAACUGGCAACGAUGGACUGGGGGUUGACAACGGAGCGCUACCCCCUUCGCCGGGCCUACGGACAACCGUUCUCAACCCCCGGACAAAAGAACUCCCAGUACAUGAAGCCGACGGGGUUUCGCGGGGAGCAGCCGAAGAUCGUGCGGGGGUCGCACCUGAAUAAUGUCACCCAUUUGAUAGGGGUGAGCCUCAACGACACUGACGCCCCUAGCGCCGAGGCGCUGCACUACUACGGGCGGCUGGCGGAUGAUGAGGACCGCGAGGAGCUGUAUCGGAUGCUCCAGAAUGUGACGCUCCUGUCGGAUAUAAGGAAGCAGAUUCUGGACUCGGUUUCGACGCAUAUGACGGAUGGGAUCGAUAUUGAGUAUCCGGAUGUUUAUGCUGAAGCCACCGAGGAUGACGACGAUUCUUUCGUUUUUGCCUCUGCGCCCAGACCCAGACCUGAAAAAUAUCCAAAAUUUCGACCGCCCAUAACGGACUACUCGCCUGAGAUAAUGAUUCACUCGGAUUUGAUGAGCGAUUACGAGAAAAACAGGCCGCACAGCACAAACUUAGUUGAGAUCACGUCAACGCACCGGGACUGCCGGCUGAGGUCGCGGCGGUACAUCUCGGACGGGCAGUGCACCUCGCCGCAGCCGAUCACGGAGGCGGUCUGCGCGGACAGCUGCACGAUGCCCUCCUACAUGUUCAACGAGCUCCCGGAGCCGCCCGAAGACGAGUACGUGGACGAGCCGCCCCGGAGCGUCCAGUACGCCGGAUGGCUGAGGCGCAAGAACUCCAAGCGGCGCACUCGCUCAUCCCCCGCCAAGCCGGACAAGACCGACCGACAGGACUAUAUCGAGGAUUUUGAGAUGGCCGAGAUCGGCCCGAAGCCCUCCUCGAAAUGGUCCUGCGAGUCUGGCGAGACCGGGAAGAAGCGCAUCAACCUCCUCUGCAACGACGGGAGCCUCCGUCAGUACUCCCUCAAGAUCAUCGUCUCCUGCCGCUGCCGGAAGUACCUCCACGGUGCCCACUCCUACCCACCCUCCCUAGCCUCCGCCGGCUCCUACCCGGCCUCCUACUUCACCGGCCCCGGCGACAUCGACCUCCCCGUCGAGGCCUCCGUCCCAGUCGCCUCCAGCCACCGCCCCGUCAAAACCAUCAUCAAACCGGUUCCCGUCCCCGUCUUCCCACCCACGGGCCCACGCGGGAAGCGGCGGUGGAAGAAACGCAAGUACAAGUCGAAGCACCGGUACCCGAACCACAAGCACCAUCACCAUCAUCAUGGACAUCAUCAUCAUCACGGGCAUCAUCAUCAUCAUGGUCAUGGACAUCAUCAUCACCAUGGGAAAGGGAAGGGCAACCACAAGGGCCCCGGCGCCGGGUUCCGGCCCCUGAGCAAACAGCACUGGGAGCAUAUCCGCAAGAAGCUGAAGAAGGUCGCCAAGAAGCAUAGGUUCAAGACGGGGGUGAGGAAGUCGUUCGGGAGCCAGACCCCGGUUUCUGAUCGGCCCAAGACGAAAGGCGAGAAGCAUGGGAAGGCCGAUCGUAGAUUCGGUUUAAUUGAUUGACGUCAUUCGUAGAGGGAAAAAGGAGGUUGAAGACUGUUAAAAUCGAGGAGUGAAAUUAUAUGCCGGAGGUUAUUCGGGUGUCCCAGGGUUAAUGCUCCAGACUUCAUGGAUGCAUUUUUUGGGUCAAAAUAAGUGAUAUUUGUUCUGUAGAAUUUUUCUGAAAAUGUUUUUUUUCGACGCUACAGCCCAUCAAAGUUGAGGAUUUUCCCCCGAAAUUUGCCCUAACUCUAUCGCCAAACGUCAAAUGCCAAUGAAAAUUGUGUCCGUCUUUCCAUAAAAUCGUAAGCAUUUGAAACAACAAAAAAUGAUAAGUACACUAAAAGCUAUCGCUAGGACACAAUUUUCAUUGGCAUUUGACGUUUGGCGCCAGAGUCAUAGGCAAAUUACGGGGGGAAAUUCUCAACUUUGAUGGACUGUAGCGCCGAAAAAAAAUAUUUUCAGAAGAAAUUUUAUAGGACGAAAACGUCUUAUUUUGACCCGAAAAAUCGAUCCCUGAAGUCUGAUGUAUCACCUAACUCUGGGACACCUUGUAUACCUCCUAAAACUAGGACUGAUAUGAAUGCGAAGUGGAAUUUGCACCAUAAAUACGCAUGACACUCCGCAAAAAGAGUAUAUUCCACUCCAUGAUAGUGUAAGUUCCUCCGUGGAUUCAUAUCACUCAGGAUUUUGGGGCGCUGUACAGACUCCGAUACAUAAUUUUACUCCGAAAUUUUCAACAGUGUAGUUUCUGAUUCGUUUACGCAGUAACGAAGGAGAAUAAAAUUUGACGUUAAUGUUUUUGCAAGAUCCGAAAUUCAAAAUGUAGAAGUGAGGAAGUAUGGAUAAUACGUUUUGCUUUAUUCAACAUAAAAUAUAAUUUAAAAAACUUUUUGAUGUCACUUUCUUUCAUAAACCACACCGUUGUAAAGGAAAUAAAAGACAAAAAAAUACAUUUUUCCGCAAUUACGUCAUCAACCUCUUCCCACCAUGCCCGAAAUGCAAAAACCUCCUUUCUUUCUCUAUUUAUGACGUUAUUUUGCAAGGAAAAGGUGAAUAUUACGGGCUGUAUUCGUAGGCGUUUCUUAAACCAAUCAUUUCUUCAUGAAGGCUCAAUGUGCUAUUGCGGAAGUCUUAAACAAAGCACGCUCCAAGAAUGAUGCAUUUUACAAACCUCAUGUAAAAUUUAACAAUGUAUAACUUCGGGAAUAGGUCCUUGCUGAAAAAUGCAAUAUUUUAUCAUCGGUUAUAAUAGAAAGUAAAACGAAAGAGAGACGCCUACCUAUACUUAAGCAAACUGUUGAAUUUUCUGCUUUUAUUGCGGUUUUUUUCUCACCGAAAUUUUUCUUUGGAAUUUCUUAUUUUUUACUUACAAUACCUAGCAACUUGUUGUGACACGUUUUAAGGAUCUGUUUCCGAAGUUAAACUGUUAAAUCUCAGUCGAGGAUGAUAAAAAUUGCCUUUUUUAUGAUUCCAUGUUAAAGGCCUCCUUGAAGCUCCCUAAAUUCUGAUGUAAGCGAUAUAUCGACGGUAGCUUAUAUCGUCUUCGGUGUUCAAAAAUCUCCGUUUCCAUUUUAUUUUUUUGAAAGAGAACAAAUCAAUAUCAUUUCUUGAAAUUUUCAAAUGGUUUUCUUCGCAUCGCACAGAGAAGAAGAAACAGGAAAGUUUUCAGAAAUUGACGUUGCGUUGUUUUCCAUUUCAAAAAUAAAGUAUGACAGAAAGUCUACAACGUCGCAAAUUGAGAUACGUGGUUUGGGAGUUUCACCAUCGAUAUGUCCUCUUUAAGGAAAUAGACUGUUUUACUGUCGUGCUAAGGGAAAACGUCGUAUGAACUUUCAGACGCUGCCAUAUUUCCUUCAAUUAAAACCUAAUUUACUAGGAAAAUCGUUAGUAUUUUUCUUCAAUUUUCUCAGACAAUUUGGUUCGCAAUUUUAUCUAAAACGUCUGAGAAUUUCAAGGGAAAAUACGCAUCAUUUUCUUUAAAAAUAUAUUUUUUAUCCGGAGCAAUUUGGCAACACUCGAAUGUUUAUACGGCGUUCUUCCUUAGCACGGCAGUAUAGUUACGACUGUGAAUACGACCCUCCGCCAAAGAACCGGAAUUCCUUGGAUAUUCUCACCAGUGAGUUGCGACUGAGUUACAUCGCUACCGUUUGCGAUGGCUUAAAUGUUCAGGUUUGAAAAUAAUGUUUCCCCAGUGUGCGAUUAUUAUUUUUGGAUACGAAAAUGGUCACCGUUCUUUUCCGAUCCAUAAGUCAAUAGGUAGUAAUUUUUGUGGGAAUCGGGUAUCCCCCGAGAAAAUAAAUGAAUGUUCCAGAAAAGUAGUAUGCCUGAACGAUGGAUGAGCCGUUCGACACCCCUCAACUUGGAGAAAAUAUCGCGCCAACGCAGCGACUCGCAAGAUACGCGCCCAUUGCCGUAGCGCCUUCAAUUUUGGUGAACGCAACCCGGGCAUCUCCAGAGUACGAAUAGUUGCAUCGAGGCGUAUUUGAAGGCGUUGACAUAUAAAUCGUUGCGUUGAAUCGCGUUGUAUAAAUCGUUGCGUUGUAUUUGUUGUGUUUCGCCGUUGUUUCACCACGAAACGGAAUGACUCGUUUAUUUAAUUGCCCUUUGAGAACUUGAGUCCUUUAAUUUUAAUCCGAUUUAAACACUCCUACGAGUUUUUCCCCACAUAACCACACGUAGGUUUCUACUUGGGAGAUCUUGUUCUAUCCUGUAUUGAGGUAUUUUAAGGUUUGUAUUUUGUGAAUAUGAACCUAAUUAUUUUAGGUCCUCUCUAUUCAAAACGAUUAAGUCCAUCUUUUUAACAAAGCCUUGGAGAAUUUAUAGUGACACAUCAGGUUUACUCUUUUACUUAUUUCCUAAGGGAUGACGGAUAGUAAUAAGAUUUCGUAAUCUUCAUUAUUCUGUUCAUCUUCGAGAGCUGAUAGAUCUAAUGAUUGAUCAACUUGUACAUAUCAUCAUUGUAUAUGGUAUCACAUUGUAAACUUUUCACUAAAUUUUCAUUCUUUCAAGAGCAAUAGAUAUAGAUAGGUAAUGCUGUUACUCUUUUAUUGUCCUUAUUUUCUGUAAAAAUGUCUGUGAUUCAACAAUUAAAAGCAAUUUAGGCUAGUUGGUGACUGGAAUCAUUUAGGGGUGGUUUGAUGCGUGGUUCUUUCAGAAAUUUUGGGUGUAAAAAGUAAGUAAAAGUGGUUUUUAAAAUAUCGAUGGCUCAAGUCAAAAGAUGCUUACUUCCAUUCUGAUGUUUAAAUACCUCCGAUUAUGUUUUAUUGUAAAUUAACAAGAUAUCUUCCCUUGAUUUUCUGUAUUUAUUUUGGUAAAUAUAGAAAAUUCAUAGGAAAUUUCAGUAGGAGAUACCCAUUUUCCCACUUCAACCAUGCAUUGAUUUGUAUCGAACAACUCAAAGAAUACAUACAAAUUGCUCUCAUAAAACUAAUAAUGAUUCUAGUCACAGGAUUCAAAAUUGAACUAUGCAUAAAGAUUAUUGUAAAUUUUAGUUAAGGUUAAUUUAUUGUAAUGAUAGAGAUAAAUAAAUACGUUGAGUACUUAUUUACCAACCUAUAA
Molecule: long non-coding RNA, 5103 nt
Filed under: Bemisia tabaci
Lineage: Eukaryota; Metazoa; Arthropoda; Insecta; Hemiptera; Aleyrodidae
Description: lncRNA ENSSSA1NGG006753
Source: RNAcentral